Molecule: ribosomal RNA, 133 nt
Filed under: Amanita vaginata
Lineage: Eukaryota; Fungi; Basidiomycota; Agaricomycetes; Agaricales; Amanitaceae
Description: 5.8S ribosomal RNA
Rfam family: 5.8S ribosomal RNA
About the family: 5.8S ribosomal RNA (5.8S rRNA) is a component of the large subunit of the eukaryotic ribosome. It is transcribed by RNA polymerase I as part of the 45S precursor that also contains 18S and 28S rRNA.
Source: RNAcentral
UUGGCUCUCGCAUCGAUGAAGAACACAGCGAAAUGUGAUAAGUAAUGUGAAUUGCAGAAUCCAGUGAAUCAUCGAAUCUUUGAACGCAUCUUGCGCUCCUUGGCAUUCCGAGGAGCAUGCCUGUUUGAGGGUC